Molecule: ribosomal RNA, 1364 nt
Filed under: Cylindrospermopsis raciborskii
Lineage: Bacteria; Bacillati; Cyanobacteriota; Cyanophyceae; Nostocales; Aphanizomenonaceae
Description: bacterial SSU rRNA
Rfam family: Bacterial small subunit ribosomal RNA
Source: RNAcentral
GGCGCACGGGUGAGUAACGCGUGAGAAUCUGGCUCCAGGUCGGGGAUAACAGUUGGAAACGACUGCUAAUACCGGAUGUGCCGAGAGGUGAAAGAUUUAUUGCCUGGAGAUGAGCUCGCGUCUGAUUAGCUAGUUGGUGGUGUAAGGGACCACGCAAGGCGUCGAUCAGUAGCUGGUCUGAGAGGAUGAUCAGCCACACUGGGACUGAGACACGGCCCAGACUCCUACGGGAGGCAGCAGUGGGGAAUUUUCCGCAAUGGGCGAAAGCCUGACGGAGCAAUACCGCGUGAGGGAGGAAGGCUCUUGGGUCGUAAACCUCUUUUCUCAAGGAAGAAGAAAGUGACGUACUUGAGGAAUAAGCAUCGGCUACUCCGUGCCAAGCAGCCCGGUAAUACGGAGGAUGCAAGCGUUAUCCGGAAUGAUUGGGCGUAAAGGGUCUGCAGGUGGAACUGAAAGUCUGCUGUUAAAGAGUUUGGCUUAACCAAAUAAAAGCGGUGGAAACUACAGAACUAGAGUGCGGUAGGGGCAAAAGGAAUUCCUGGUGUAGCGGUGAAAUGCGUAGAUAUCAGGAAGAACACCGGUGGCGAAAGCGUUUUGCUAGACCGUAACUGACACUGAGGGACGAAAGCUAGGGGAGCGAAUGGGAUUAGAUACCCCAGUAGUCCUAGCCGUAAACGAUGGAUACUAGGCGUGGCUUGUAUCGACCCGAGCCGUGCCGGAGCUAACGCGUUAAGUAUCCCGCCUGGGGAGUACGCACGCAAGUGUGAAACUCAAAGGAAUUGACGGGGGCCCGCACAAGCGGUGGAGUAUGUGGUUUAAUUCGAUGCAACGCGAAGAACCUUACCAAGACUUGACAUCCUGCGAAUCCUGGUGAAAGCUGGGAGUGCCUUAGGGAGCGCAGAGACAGGUGGUGCAUGGCUGUCGUCAGCUCGUGUCGUGAGAUGUUGGGUUAAGUCCCGCAACGAGCGCAACCCUCGUUUUUAGUUGCCAGCAUUAAGUUGGGCACUCUAGAGAGACUGCCGGUGACAAACCGGAGGAAGGUGAGGAUGACGUCAAGUCAGCAUGCCCCUUACGUCUUGGGCUACACACGUACUACAAUGCUACGGACAGAGGGCAGCGAGCCAGGGAUGGCAAGCGAAUCCAGAAACCGUAGCUCAGUUCAGAUCGAAGGCUGCAACUCGCCUUCGUGAAGGAGGAAUCGCUAGUAAUUGCAGGUCAGCAUACUGCAGUGAAUUCGUUCCCGGGCCUUGUACACACCGCCCGUCACACCAUGGAAGUUGGUCACGCCCGAAGUCAUUACCCCAACCGAAAGGAGGGGGAUGCCUAAGGUAGGACUGGUGACUGGGGUGAAGUCGUAACAAGGU